AUACGGAGGAUCCGAGCGUUAUCCGGAUUUAUUGGGUUUAAAGGGUGCGCAGGCGGCCAUUUAAGUCAGCGGUUAAAUCGUGGGGCUCAACCCCAUUCUGCCGUUGAUACUGGGUGGCUUGAUUGCGGUCGAGGUUGGCGGAAUUCGUUGUGUAGCGGUGAAAUGCAUAGAUAUGACGAAGAACACCGAUUGCGUAGGCAGCUGACCAGACCGCAAAUGACGCUCAUGCACGAAAGUGCGGGGAUCGAACAGGAUUAGAUACCCUGGUAGUCCGCACAGUAAACGAUGAAUACUUGUUUUCGGCGAUAUAAUGUCGGAGGCAAAGCGAAAGCGAUAAGUAUUCAACCUGGGGAGUAAGCCGGCACCGGUGAAACUCAAAGUAAUUGACGGGG
RNAcentral lists this ribosomal RNA (392 nucleotides) under uncultured bacterium. RNAcentral describes it as "partial 16S ribosomal RNA". It matches the Rfam family "Bacterial small subunit ribosomal RNA", at positions 523 to 918 of the family's 1533-position model. The record is from RNAcentral.